Molecule: ribosomal RNA, 720 nt
Filed under: uncultured bacterium
Lineage: Bacteria
Description: partial 16S ribosomal RNA
Rfam family: Bacterial small subunit ribosomal RNA
Source: RNAcentral
AGGCCUGCGGGUUGUAAAGCRCUUUCAGUAGGGARGAAAUGCUYAAGGUUAAUACUCUUGWGUUUUGACGUUACCUACAGGAGAAGCACCGGCUAACUCCGUGCCAGCAGCCGCGGUAAUACGGAGGGUGCAAGCGUUUAUGAGAAUUACUGGGCGUAAAGSGCGCGUAGGCGGUUUGGUAAGUCGGAUGUGAAAKCCCCGGGCUUAACCUGAGAAUUGCUUUCGAUACUGCCUGACUAGGGAAAUAGAGGAGAGAGUGGAAUUCCCGGUGUAGCGGUGAAAUGCGUAUAUCUUCCGGAACACCYGUGGCGCGACGGCUACUUGCUGGACCAAUACUGACGCUGAGCAGAAAAAGCGGGGGGAGAAAAGAUUAUUAAAUCCCCCGGUCCUCCCUGCCAAARACGAUGUCAACUKKGAGUUGGGGGCCUUAUCCUCUUUAACGGAGCGAAAGUGUUAUUUGCUCCACCGCCUGGGUAUGGUCGUCRGGCUGARAAAAAAAAGGAAUUGACGGGGGWCCGCACAAGCGGAGGAGCAUGUGUUUUAAUUCGAUGCAACGCGAASAACCUUACCAGCUCUUGACAUCUUCGGAAUMUUCURGAGAUAGAUUGKUGCCUUCSGGAAAACCAAUGACASAGUUCGGWUAUAWCCCCCAUCGAGCGCRACACCUGUGUCUCUUUGCGASCACUWSKMRUGGGGAACUAUUCUGGGRCUGCUGGGUGA